Molecule: small nuclear RNA, 194 nt
Organism: Ochotona princeps (American pika)
Lineage: Eukaryota; Metazoa; Chordata; Mammalia; Lagomorpha; Ochotonidae
Product: U2 spliceosomal RNA
Exons: 1
Source: RefSeq, a predicted model, not a curated record
AUCGCUUCUCGGCCUUUUGGCUAAGAUCAAGUGUAGUAUCUGUUCUUAUCAGUAAAUACUUAGGUUUUAAAAACUAAAAAUGCAACAGUUAGGAGAGUAAUAUGAUAGGACAAUAUGUAUUACUCAAUAUUUUCAGAUUGCUGAAUUAAAAUGCUUAUUUCAGUAAAGCAGUGGGCUGUAACAGUUGACAUCAU